This 441-nucleotide ribosomal RNA is filed under the name uncultured bacterium. RNAcentral describes it as "bacterial SSU rRNA". It matches the Rfam family "Bacterial small subunit ribosomal RNA", at positions 29 to 515 of the family's 1533-position model. The record is from RNAcentral.
AACGAACGCUGGCGGCAUGCCUAACACAUGCAAGUCGAACGAGACCUUCGGGUCUAGUGGCGCACGGGUGCGUAACGCGUGGGAAUCUGCCCUUAGGUACGGAAUAACUCAGGGAAACUUGUGCUAAUACCGUAUGAUGUCGAGAGACCAAAGAUUUAUCGCCUAGGGAUGAGCCCGCGUAGGAUUAGCUAGCUGGUGGGGUAAAGGCCUACCAAGGCUACGAUCCUUAGCUGGUCUGAGAGGAUGAUCGGCCACACUGGGACUGAGACACGGCCCAGACUCCUACGGGAGGCAGCAGUGGGGAAUAUUGGACAAUGGGCGAAAGCCUGAUCCAGCAAUGCCGCGUGAGUGAAGAAGGCCUUCGGGUUGUAAAGCUCUUUUACCCGGGAAGAUAAUGACUGUACCGGGAGAAUAAGCUCCGGCUAACUCCGUGCCAGCCGC